AUUCACCACUAGGGGAGCCAUUUGGCUGAGACGGGAAACCGGACCCUUUGAACCUGUUGAGUUAAAACUUGCGUAGGGAAGAUGGUAGACCGACUA
This 96-nucleotide non-coding RNA is filed under the name Weissella cibaria. Its description in RNAcentral is "TPP sequence". It matches the Rfam family "TPP riboswitch aptamer (THI element)". Rfam says of the family: Vitamin B(1) in its active form thiamin pyrophosphate (TPP) is an essential coenzyme that is synthesised by coupling of pyrimidine and thiazole moieties in bacteria. The previously detected thiamin-regulatory element, thi box was extended, resulting in a new, highly conserved RNA secondary structure, the THI element, which is widely distributed in eubacteria and also occurs in some archaea. The record is from Rfam by way of RNAcentral. Lineage: Bacteria; Bacillati; Bacillota; Bacilli; Lactobacillales; Lactobacillaceae.